CCUACGGGAGGCAGCAGUAGGGAAUCUUCCACAAUGGACGAAAGUCUGAUGGAACAACGCCGCGUGAGUGAUGAAGGUUCUCCGAUCCUAAAACUCUGUUGUAAGGGAAGAACAAGUACGUUAGGAAAUGAACGUACCUUGACCGUACCUUAUUAGAAAGGCACGGCUAACCACGUGGCAGCAGCCGCGGUAAUACGUAGGUGGGAAGCGUUGUCCGGAUUUAUUGGGCGUAAAGCGCGCGCAGGCGGUUUCUUAAGUCUGAUGUGAAAGCCCACGGCUUAACCGUGGAGGGUCAUUGGAAACUGGGAGACUUGAGUGCAGAAGAGGAAAGUGGAAUUCCAAGUGUAGCGGUGAAAUGCGUAGAGAUUUGGAGGAACACCAGUGGCGAAGGCGACUUUUCUGGUCCUGCAACUGACGCUGAGGCGCGAAAGCAUGGGGAGCAAACAGGAUUAGAUACCCUGGUAGUCCAUGCCCGUAAACGAUGAGUGCUAAGUGUUAGGGGGUUUCCGCCCCUUAGUGCUGCAGCUAACGCAUUAAGCACUCCGCCUGGGGAGUACGACCGCAAGGUUGAAACUCAAAGGAAUUGACGGGGGCCCGCACAAGCGGUGGAGCAUGUGGUUUAAUUCGAAGCAACGCGAAGAACCUUAC
RNAcentral lists this ribosomal RNA (648 nucleotides) under bacterium HN3-5-25. Its description in RNAcentral is "bacterial SSU rRNA". It matches the Rfam family "Bacterial small subunit ribosomal RNA", at positions 338 to 974 of the family's 1533-position model. The record is from RNAcentral.